Scylla paramamosain (green mud crab) is the source of this 438-nucleotide long non-coding RNA. RefSeq lists it as uncharacterized. The transcript has 3 exons. Lineage: Eukaryota; Metazoa; Arthropoda; Malacostraca; Decapoda; Portunidae. The record is from RefSeq and is a predicted model, not a curated record.
GGAACGUCCUCGGCUCGUUCGGGCGUGGCCGGCGAGAGGCAACAGGUAGACCCAAGCCGGCGCCGGUGGCAUGAAGUGGGAGACGGGGAACGUAAUCCGCCUGUAAUUAGCAUGACCCGGUGCUGGUGGCUGCCGCUUCUCGAGGAAAGGAUGAGUUGUGCCACGUUCAUCACGACAACACUAAUCGUGAUAUCUUUGAACACACAACCUUGUCUUCUGCACCCAUACACAUGUGGAUUCUUUCACGAAGGUGACUACGGAUAAAAUGAUCAUAAGUCCAGCGCGUAAUCCCAAAGACGUGAGCUAAACUACAGGCGUGAUAGAGUACGUCACACAAACACAGGCGAGGUUUCUGUGCGCAGCGUCCUGAAGAGAGAUAAAGUGAAGGAAGACAACACACAACGCCGAGCGAGUCUUGGAUAGAAUACGGCGAUCAAG